UACAGAGGGGGCAAGCGUUGUUCGGAAUUACUGGGCGUAAAGGGCGCGUAGGCGGCCUGCUAAGUCGAACGUGAAAUCCCUGGGCUCAACCCAGGAACUGCGUCCGAUACUGGUUGGCUUGAAUCCGGGAGAGGGAUGUGGAAUUCCAGGUGUAGCGGUGAAAUGCGUUGAUAUCAUCAGGAAUACCGGAGGCGAAGGCGGCUCACUGGGACCUAACUGACGCUGAGGAACGAAAGCUAGGGGAGCAAACGGG
This 253-nucleotide ribosomal RNA is filed under the name uncultured bacterium. RNAcentral's name for it is "partial 16S ribosomal RNA". It matches the Rfam family "Bacterial small subunit ribosomal RNA", at positions 524 to 776 of the family's 1533-position model. The record is from RNAcentral.